GCAAAUCCCAUGAAAGAACCCUGAUGCAAACAUCCAGAACCAGAGGAAAGGAGGCUAAUUAAGCUUCCUGGCCACCAUGAGACCAAUUUCUUCUCCAUACUCUUGCUGUGAUGUACUGCUGCACCACAGACCCAAAAGCUAUGGAGGCUUUUCUGCACUUGUGCUAUGGAAAUGCAACUUAAGCACCUUGGAGCAGAUUCAGCUUAUCCAGCUGUGAGUCAGGAGCUUGGACCCAUGUACAAGGCAUUGCCAUAGUCUGUCUGCCUGCCCUCUCCUUCCCAGAAAGAUCAUGUUCCUGAGCGAAAGGAUCAUUGCAGGCGGGCACACGGGUCCACUCUGUUUGAGUUCCCAGAGUUGAAGAGGUAGCAGGCCUACCUGCAGCACCCAGUGUGGAGAGGAGCAGCUAUUUACUUUCCCAAAGGUUCUUUGCUGUGUUUGGGGCAUUGGUCUGGAACCAUCAUGCUUCAUCCAUUCUCCCCUUCUGGGUGACUCGGGAGCUCCCCAGUGAAACCCCUUUCCUCUUUAGCCAGGGAACUCCUACACUCCAUGU
Molecule: long non-coding RNA, 550 nt
Organism: Sciurus carolinensis (gray squirrel)
Lineage: Eukaryota; Metazoa; Chordata; Mammalia; Rodentia; Sciuridae
Exons: 3
Source: RefSeq, a predicted model, not a curated record